RNAcentral lists this long non-coding RNA (531 nucleotides) under Aquilegia coerulea. RNAcentral's name for it is "long non-coding RNA (ACOE_LNC000617)". The record is from RNAcentral. Lineage: Eukaryota; Viridiplantae; Streptophyta; Magnoliopsida; Ranunculales; Ranunculaceae.
UUCUCCUUUUACAUGAGUAUACAAAAGUAUAUAGAUAGGAAGAGAAAUGUUUCUUUAAAGAGUUUAUUCCCUUUAAUAAAGAUCACAUGAGAUCUAUGUUGAGAUAACUGAGUUGUCUACAAUGAGAUUCUUUGUGGUGACAUGACUUAUUGCAUUAAAGCAAAUCACAGUCUAAAUAUUUUUAGAUAAAAUGUGGGAAAGUAACUUUUGAGAAGGACAAAGUCAAUGACAUUCUGUGUGGGAAUGACAAUCUGUUUAUAGUCAACCUUCCAAAAGGACAAUCUGUUUAAACCAUCUUUCUCAACAAGAUAUGCAGUUUUUGUUGACUUGCUGAAAAAGUCAAAAGACUUCUAAUUUUAGGUCUAAUCAUAGUGCUAAGUUCUUGUGUAUUUUCUACUUUGCCCUUUCUUACUAGGGUUAAUCACUCCUUAGGUUUAAUUUAUAUUUUUGUUUAAUGCAUCAUAUCUGCUAUACUAUGCUGUCAGGGGCGCCGCCUAGGCGCUAUUUCUGAAGGGGGACGCUCCGCUGGGC